Molecule: ribosomal RNA, 504 nt
Filed under: uncultured bacterium
Lineage: Bacteria
Description: bacterial SSU rRNA
Rfam family: Bacterial small subunit ribosomal RNA
Source: RNAcentral
AGAGUUUGAUCAUGGCUCAGAUUGAACGCUGGCGGAAUGCUUUACACAUGCAAGUCGAGCGGCAGCGCGGGGGCAACCCUGGCGGCGAGCGGCGAACGGGUGAGUAACAUAUCGGAACGUACCCCGUCGUGGGGGAUAACACAGCGAAAGCUGUGCUAAUACCGCAUACGACCUGAGGGUGAAAGCGGGGGAUCGCAAGACCUCGCGCGAUGGGAGCGGCCGAUAUCGGAUUAGCUUGUUGGUGGGGUAAAAGCCUACCAAGGCGACGAUCUGUAGCUGGUCUGAGAGGACGACCAGCCACACUGGGACUGAGACACGGCCCAGACUCCUACGGGAGGCAGCAGUGGGGAAUUUUGGACAAUGGGCGCAAGCCUGAUCCAGCCAUGCCGCGUGCGGGAAGAAGGCCUUCGGGUUGUAAACCGCUUUUGUCAGGGAAGAAACGGCUCGGGCUAAUACCUCGGGCUAAUGACGGUACCUGAAGAAUAAGCACCGGCUAACUACGUG